This 480-nucleotide ribosomal RNA is filed under the name uncultured bacterium. RNAcentral describes it as "partial 16S ribosomal RNA". It matches the Rfam family "Bacterial small subunit ribosomal RNA", at positions 28 to 523 of the family's 1533-position model. The record is from RNAcentral.
GACGAACGCUGGCGGCGUGCUUAACACAUGCAAGUCGAACGGUAAGGCCCUUUCGGGGGUACACGAGUGGCGAACGGGUGAGUAACACGUGGGUAAUCUGCCCUGCACUUCGGGAUAAGCCUGGGAAACCGGGUCUAAUACCGGAUAUGAAUCCCGGCCGCAUGGUCUGGGGUUGGAAAGUUUUUCGGUGCAGGAUGAGCCCGCGGCCUAUCAGCUUGUUGGUGGGGUAAUGGCCUACCAGGGCGACGACGGGUAGCCGGCCUGAGAGGGUGAUCGGCCACACUGGGACUGAGACACGGCCCAGACUCCUACGGGAGGCAGCAGUGGGGAAUAUUGCACAAUGGGCGGAAGCCUGAUGCAGCGACGCCGCGUGGGGGAUGACGGUCUUCGGAUUGUAAACCCCUUUCAGUAGGGACGAAGCGCAAGUGACGGUACCUGCAGAAGAAGCACCGGCCAACUACGUGCCAGCAGCCGCCGUAA